Magnolia sinica is the source of this 4346-nucleotide long non-coding RNA. RefSeq lists it as uncharacterized. NCBI's taxonomy places the organism in Eukaryota, Viridiplantae, Streptophyta, Magnoliopsida, Magnoliales, Magnoliaceae. The record is from RefSeq and is a predicted model, not a curated record. The transcript is spliced from 6 exons.
UGUUUAAGGUGCGCACAACAUGUGUUUGAUGAAAUGUCUCAGGGGAAGAGCUGCGAGACUUGGAGAAUGCACGACAUUGUUGUUGUGGUGGUGCCAAGCUCUGUAUCCCUUCGUUGUCAUUUUUAUUCUUUGCCCAAUUGCGACUUGAGUCCAUUAGAUUAUCAAUCGUUUCUGCAACCAAAAGCCAACAUUAUUAAUAGAGAAAAUGCUACAAAUGAUGCAAUGUUCAAUGUUAAAAACUGAGAAAAUAUGAAAACAGACACAUGGCAUGCAAGCUGACUGUUAGUCGUCCAGCCUGAAGAAUCUGGCUAGUCCGCUCAUUAUAUAAGGUAGGCCAAAAUAUAGAGAAGAAAUGGCAGUUUGCAUUAAAUAUACACAAGUGUUCUCAACUUGAUUAGUGGACCAACCUGCUUUUCUUGGCCAAGGAAACUGCACGUUAUGUAUGAUCCAUGUGAUGGAUCUAUUAAAUUUGUCACAUGAAUAUUGUGGUUAUAAAUGAGUGGAAUUAUCAAAUGUCCUUGUCACAAAAAAUAAAAUAAAUUCAAACAUCCUUGUCACAGAGAUAAAUAUCAUUCUCAGUCAUUUCUCUGCUAGUAGAAUUCAGGGGAGAUUUUAGAUUUCAAGGUUUUCUAAGGAUAUUAUUGGGAAUAUCUUGGUGAAACUAAAAAGAUUUAAAAAAUGUUUGUGACAUGAAUACUGUGUUACAAAUUCAUGGAAUUUCAAAUGUCCUUCUCAGCAAUUUCUCAGCCAGCCAGUCCCCAGACCAGGUAAAAGGAGGGUUGAUGUCAUGUAGGUAGCUGGCCUGAAGUUCUAUCAAGCGGUCAUGAGAAUUCCUGUUUCAAAUCUUGAUAGAAGAAACACUAUUUGAGUUAUGGAACAUCUUUGUUUGCUUUAAAUUUUUUUUUUUUUUUUUUUAAUUUUUUGAUGCAAUCUGUUCAUGUAUGACAAACAUAAUUAUUGGUCUUUCAUCAUGGACUUGAUGGGAGCAAAAGUCCAAAGUGACCAAGUUCUCAUACAAUUAGAAUGCUAAGGUUAAUAACAUAAAAUUCCAAGUUUAUUCUGCACGCUCAAUUGACUUUCUAGUUUAACAAUCUUAUUAUAUCUCUUUCUUCAAGUCAUUUUGAGUCCUUGAUCGAGUUUAUUGAGUUUUGAAAGCUUUUGCAUGAUCUUAUUUUCUCAACUUUCAAAGACAAGAUCAAGUUUUUGAGUACUUGAUUUCUCGUGUGCUCUUAUCAACUUCUCUUUCCUUUUCUUGUAACUAAAAUUCCCCCUUUAGCAUUUCUUAAGACGAGUUGAAUCUCCUCAGCUUUCUUGGGCACUAAACACUGUUGUUUUUAGAUGUAACUUCUCACUAAAGAUUCACAGUCUUCUUGAAAAAUAAUGUAAAACCAACCCCAAAUAAAGGACCCAAAAUGAAACAUCCACAUUUGUUUGAAAAGUUAUGUUUGCUGAUAAUAUGAAAAAUUUCAGGGUUUUUUCUUCAUUCUAGGGGAGAUUUAUUCAUAUGUAUUUUCUAAUUUGCCAAAAGCUAAAACAUUUUAAGUUAGUGGAAAGAUUUUGAUGAGGACAUCAGAUCACCAUUCAUUAGGCUUUGGUUGGAGUAGGGAGGCAAACUGCCUUAGUGGGAAUUUAAAUGCUGCCAACUCUCUCUCUCAGACGAAGCUCUGAGUUCUAACAUGGACUGGUUGGUCUUUACUUUGUUCUGCUUAUUCUAAUGUUCCAGAGAAUAAUUGACAUUUUUCUAAUGCUAUCUAUCUCUGAAUCAGGUCAAAGCAUCCAAAAUCUGUAUUGAUUAUGGAUGAGGUUGAUGGCUUGCUUCUUAAAGGAGUCAUCGAAGCAGUAGAAGAAGAAGCAGAAGCAGCAGGUAUGUAUGUACAUGCUUUUCCCUUGUCAUUCUUGGCUCAAAUACCUUCAGGCAAUCUUAGUUGUCUGGAAAACAUUACAAAUGCCACAUAUUUUGUGUAUAGACCCAGUACUGAUUCGAUAAAUACCCCCAUAAGUUGUGCUUUUAGCCAUAUAAUAAUUCUAAACUUAUAGUCCCCAAAAGAAAAAUGGUCAAAGGCCCACAUUUGGUUAGAGGUGGAGAAUAAAUUUAGGCUAGGAUUACCUCAAAAAAUAAAAAUCUUUUUGUCAACAUCAAAUAUUGAAUUGCUCAAAGUAAUGAUUCACCUGGAUUGGAAUUGCUUGAAAUUAUGCAUGCACAUGUUCCUUUUGUGAGACUAUUUUGUUGGUCUGCUCUUUCCAAAUGAGCAUUAGGGAAAAGAAAGACUAUUUUGUUGGUCUGCUCUUUCCAAAUUAGCAUAAGGGAAAGGAAAGGUAUCUUCUUCUUCUUCUUUUUUUUGGGUGGACGCAAGGUCCCCAGAUUUACAGAUGGGGUUUAGAAUCAAUGUUUAGCAUAUUCAGUGAACCACUACUGCUUGAAUUUGUAUUAACAGCCCAAUUUCAGUUAUUGCACCACUAUUACAAAUCAUCUCGACUCAUUGGUAUCUCAAAUAUUUAAACUGACUUUUUUUAAUAAAUAGUUUCUACCCAUGUUAUGUGGGUCCUUCAAAAGUGGAGUAUCUGAGUUCGAUACUCAAACAGUAGGAUAAGGUAUGGAUAAGAGACCUGCCUUCACAAGACUUGAAAUCUAGAUCCAUUCUGUUUUUAAACUGUUGAGCUAUCAGUUAUUUAGAAUUUUAAAUGAAUAUUACCAAUUGGGUUGCAAGUCCAGCUUGCUUGAUAUUGUUGGGGCAUCAUUUGAACUUGGCUAUCUUUUUUGAACAGUAACACAAGAAAAUUUUAGUAGAACCACUGAAAAGAGGGAAAAAUGAGAAUAAGCAAUGUGGGAUGAAGAGAGAUCAUUGCAUUCACCCCUAAAGAUGGCAUUAAGGAAGAAAAAGACACAACAGCCCAAUAAUUCCUCCUUUUUACUUCUAAAUUGUAGGCAAACCCAUUGCCCAAGAUGGAUCCAACUGUUUAGCUUAUGAAAGAUCUCUUCCACAGAUUCCAAGCAAUUGCUGAAGUACCUGUUGUUUCUUCCUUUCUAGAUUGACCACACCACUGCUAGAAAGGAGAGACACCAUAUAAAUAUUUUCCUUUUGCCUUUCUUUCAUCUGUUCUAGGCAAAGUAGAAAGCAUCAAUCAAACAUGGUGCAUUCCAUAACAUGAUUAUCUUAUGAGUUCUGACCAAUCCCUUGCUGUAUCUGUCAUGAAAAUUUGGAUUUAGGGGAUCUGCCGUACUUGAUCCUUGCUGUAUCCAUACUCAGGUACUGUAUGUUUAUACAAUUUUCUCCAAGAAGAUAGUCAUGCAUAUGAUUUAGCAAUGGUAAGAACUUUUCUUUGGCUUACUUCACCAAUUUGCCACUGAGCCAUUGAAUUGCCUAUGGAUGCGUUGGUAACUUCAAAAUCUUUUGCCAAAGAAGAAGAAAAAGAAGGAGACAAGUUUUAUUCUUUUGUCAGAGAAGAAGAAGGUGACAAGUUUUAUUCUUUUGCCAGAGAAGAAGGUGACAAGUUUUAUUAUUUAUAGGUUUUGACCCGUCCACUUUCAUGCCUGAUUAAAGUUCUCCUCUGCCCUUUGAUUUUAUAGAUGCGGAUUGGCUUGUUACCCGAGGUUGUAUCGUGGUGAUCCAGUGCUAAAUCCUCUUACACCUUGGGAUAGACCAUUGAAAAACAUUUUCUGUAUAUAUGGGAUAGAUAUGAAGACUGAGUUUGUGAGUGUUUAACUCCUGAUACUGUAAAUAAUAAGUAUCAUGGAUGUGAAGACUGGUGGAGGCAAGUUUUUUCAGCACAAGGCUUAUUGUGAAAAGCAUAGCUUGGAUCAGAAAAAGAAGGCUGAGAGUCUGUAACAUGGACCUGAUGAGGUCCGCCGCAUUAAGCAAAUUCGGGUCAUUGAGAAUGUACUAUAAUCCACAUCUUGUCUGUUUUCUCAUUCAUUAUUAGAUCCUCCUUUUGGGUUUCCUUUCCAGCACUUCCAACUCUCAAUUCUACUCUCUUUCCUUUCCCUACACACAUCCAUCUGCAUUUCAUUUCUUGUUUGAGAGUUUCAUUUCAUGUGUUGCGGCCAGCAAGCCAGAGCUACAUGUUGAGGUUACAGGGCCUGUUACGCACAAUUCGAAUGGAGAAUGCUGGUGGAGGCAAUGAUGACGUUGGCUUGGAAGCAGCAGAAGAUGGACGGGUAGUGUUAUCUCAAGGUCCGCCAAGCACGAUGGCACCGGUGAUGAUGUGCGCAACCAUGACUUUGUAUUAUUUGUGGAACCUAGUAUUGUGUAACAAUUUGAUUGAGUUAAACUUUAAAUAGACUGUUGUUAACUGUUUUGUUGGUAUUGUGGCUUUCAUGAUUGAUUGUUUCAUGAGUGGAUUGAAUG